CUCACGGUCAAAGAAUCUUAGUCACGGGCAGAGUUUUUCAAUUGUGGGCAAGUUUUCUCUCGGUUAAAGGCAAUUUUUAUGAGUCGGGCAGCCUUUCGGUUCUAUCUCCUUUCUCUCAUCAAAUGGCUCGAGUUUGGUCAAGUAUUUAUAAAUGGGACAGCUUGGCCACCAAGCAAACGCAUGUCAUCUCGUGGUGACACCUUGCGGGACACAUGUCGCCCGCCCGUGGAGACACAUAUGCUGUAGAAAUGGGACGAUGACACGUGGAAAAGGAAACUUCGGCUCCAAUCCUCUUAAAUUUGGCUUCAAGCAACUUUGAUUGGGCUCCAAGUAAGCCAGCCCACGUGUCCAUGGCGUGGUCAAAGGGCGGUCAACGCCCGUCUGGGCAAACUUUGCCCGCGGCACGCCCGUAUUGCCCAAUCUUGCCCAUUCUUGCCCAUCUUUGCCCAUUUUUGCCCAAAUAGUAAU
This 468-nucleotide small RNA is filed under the name Arabidopsis thaliana (thale cress). RNAcentral describes it as "ATSL264070". Lineage: Eukaryota; Viridiplantae; Streptophyta; Magnoliopsida; Brassicales; Brassicaceae. The record is from RNAcentral.